CUCAUUCUCUACUACUACUAUUUCUCUCUUCUAGCAAUUUUUAGCAAGUGCUCUUCUAGCAAUUUAAUUUUUAGUUUGCAUUUAACAAGUGUUCAAGUGCUACACAAGAGGAUGUUCUUGUUGAGAAGAGGAGGUCACUCCUUGUUGAGAGCACAAGAAGAAGCUGACAAAUAUCGGCUCUACCUCUGGUCCUCUACUCAAUUCCUCCUUGUGAGUCACAGAAUACUUCCGGAGUGACUGGCCACAUAAGCAGUCAUCCAAUCUGCAACCCGAUUGGCUUCUUGGAAGACAUGCUUGGCUUGGAAUGUCCUCCUCUCCGUCGUCAUAGCCCAUAUGUCAUGAAGCAGUGGGUGGUCUUUGGUUCAUAGUUGGGAAUCAAGUUUUCUUUGUUUUGUU
RNAcentral lists this long non-coding RNA (396 nucleotides) under Phoenix dactylifera (date palm). Its description in RNAcentral is "long non-coding RNA (PDAC_LNC017251)". The record is from RNAcentral. Lineage: Eukaryota; Viridiplantae; Streptophyta; Magnoliopsida; Arecales; Arecaceae.